GACGAACGCUGGCGGCGUGCUUAACACAUGCAAGUCGAACGGAAAGGCCCUGCUUUUGUGGGGUGCUCGAGUGGCGAACGGGUGAGUAACACGUGAGUAACCUGCCCUUGACUUUGGGAUAACUUCAGGAAACUGGGGCUAAUACCGGAUAGGAGCUCCUGCUGCAUGGUGGGGGUUGGAAAGUUUCGGCGGUUGGGGAUGGGCUCGCGGCUUAUCAGCUUGUUGGUGGGGUAGUGGCUUACCAAGGCUUUGAUGGGUAGCCGGCCUGAGAGGGUGACCGGCCACAUUGGGACUGAGAUACGGCCCAGACUCCUACGGGAGGCAGCAGUGGGGAAUAUUGCACAAUGGGCGGAAGCCUGAUGCAGCAACGCCGCGUGCGGGAUGACGGCCUUCGGGUUGUAAACCGCUUUCGCCUGUGACGAAGCGUGAGUGACGGUAAUGGGUAAAGAAGCACCGGCUAACUACGUG
RNAcentral lists this ribosomal RNA (468 nucleotides) under uncultured bacterium. RNAcentral's name for it is "partial 16S ribosomal RNA". It matches the Rfam family "Bacterial small subunit ribosomal RNA", at positions 28 to 507 of the family's 1533-position model. The record is from RNAcentral.